Molecule: ribosomal RNA, 312 nt
Filed under: uncultured bacterium
Lineage: Bacteria
Description: bacterial SSU rRNA
Rfam family: Bacterial small subunit ribosomal RNA
Source: RNAcentral
GAUGAACGCUGGCGGCGUGCUUAACACAUGCAAGUCGAACGGACUUAUUAUGAAGCCUAGCGAUUAAUAAGUUAGUGGCGGACGGGUGAGUAACGCGUGGGUAACCUGCCUUAUACAGGGGGAUAACACUUAGAAAUAGGUGCUAAUACCGCAUAAGCGCACGUCUCUGCAUGGAGAUGUGUGAAAACUCCGGUGGUAUAAGAUGGACCCGCGUCUGAUUAGCUAGUUGGUGAGGUAACGGCCCACCAAGGCGACGAUCAGUAGCCGGCCUGAGAGGGUGAACGGCCACAUUGGGACUGAGACACGGCCCAA